AUAAAAUCCUAUAAAUCGGAGACUCCUAAACAAAAAGCCCUAGCCUCAUACAUAGGGAGACAAGGGUGAAGGAAAAGCAAAUUAGUCGCUGCAAAGUAGAGCAGCAGUCAUCAAAGAUCCGAAGCUUUUUCAGAGACUAGAGCAAUUUGGUCACCUGGCUAAGCCAUUCUUCAUCACAUUGCUUAUCAUUUCAAAGGAUUGGGACUCAAUAGGGACGAGAGACAUGUCCCCUCAAUCUCCGGGUUUACUUAGAAGUUGAAAGUUUUGAUGGCAUGAGUGGAGUCGGAAAAAAGAAACUAAGGAUAUGAGUCGACGUGUGUCUGCUCAGGCCUCCAAAAAGGGCCGAGGUUCCACCUCUUCGGCGCCACCACCGCCACUGUCACCACCAUCCUCGCCACCACCAUCGGGUGACUUGCCACGGCCGGAGUGGGCUUCACGCCCUCUUCACAAGCUUACGCAGUUCAACAUUCCAUAUUUUCAGCGUGACACGGACACUACUUGGGUGGUCCAUAAGAAUGUCCUUUCACUUGGGCAUAGAGCUGAGCGCCGUUUGGAGUUUGUUCGGGUUUUACACUGUUAUCAGCAUGGCUAUCAGGUCUCGCUUGAGCAUAUCAUCUGGAUGCAUUUGCGGAAAUUUCUUCGAGAGGCAGUUCGGCCUGAACCUAUGCAGAACCUGACUUAACACUGUUAUUUGCCAAUUUGUUGACACUUGUGUUUGAGCUGAACGGCCUCCCCAUUGCUGAGAAUGAGGAGAUUGAUAGAGCGUAUCCGACUUUCGGUCAGCGGGAAUGGCAACAUAGCAUAUCUCGCAUCCCGUAGCAGGUUGGUGCCCCAGUUGAUGAGGCCCAGGACCCCGUACAUGACCACCCACCUCAUCCUGUUCCCCCCUCGCCUCUCCAAGGGGACCCACUCUACAUGACUCGCGAGGAGUACUUACAGCUUCAGCACUCUGUGGAUCAGGUCCACAGUACUCUUCGUGAUCACCACCAGAGUCUCAUGGAGUUGCGCAUGGAUUUUCAGGCGCAUCGAGACUGUUCUCAGGCGACCUUCGACCAGCUACACGCUCGCUAGCUCGACAUCCAGCAACGGGUUCAGGAUGAAGCCUUUGAGACGCGAUCUUUGAUGCAAGCCUUCUUUGCCCAGCAUUUCCCGCCACCACCGCCACCGGCUUCUCCGUAGUACCCACUGUACUAGCAUGGUUCUUGGGACGAAGACAGGGUGACGUAAGAAAACAACAACUGACCCAUGGCAUCACCCUCAGGAACAUCUGCACAUGUCAUUGUCACACCACAGACUUUAUCCGAUGAGACACAACCGCCGGAUGACACACAAACAUUUGUGGAAGAGACACAGGCGCACGGCGUAGGGAAAAGUACGUCAACUCGUGUAUGUGGUCCUACAGUCGGAAAAGGAGUGCAAAAAAGGAUUGUGAGAAAAAAAUGGGAGAAACUACAUGUAUAUGUCAAUCACAUGCUGAAUGCCCUCACUGGGGGGAAUGCCACGCCUGCAACAAAUGAGUUGGGCUUGUUGAUAAGGCGGUUGUGCCCUCUGAAGGGAGUGAAGUCAUGGAAGAAAAUUGAUCAGAGUAUCAAAGAUGCUGUAGUACAAGCUGUGACACGUUUGAAAGAAAUUGGUGAGGAUUUUCAUACUGAUCAGCAAGCUCAAGAGAUCGUUAAUGCGAAGGCGUAUCUCUUGUACAAGGAUUGGUGGUACACCCUAAAGUAACACUUAGAAAAACUUGUCAAAGAGGGUGUUGAUGACCUAUAUAGUCAUCCGCCUACAGGAGUUUGCUUGGAUGAUUGGAAACACAUGAUUGAUGUGGCUUAGAAGGAUGAUUCUCAUUUGAAACGCUCUAAAGCUGGUAAAGCAAACCGGAGUUUGCUACCAUACAAUCACACUAGUGGAUCUCGCUCCUUUCCAAUAGCAAUGUCGCUCAUGGUAGAUGAAAAUGGGGAGUUGGAUUUUUCAGAAUUUUAUUCCAAAUCACACAAAUCGAAGAAAACAAACGAAUGGAUUGAUCCCAAAUGUGGUGAGCUACAUGAUGCAAUGGUGAAUCUACAAGCGACAGCCACGGAUGCGGGGAUCCCAUUGACAUAGGAGGAACUCUCACGGCAAGUGCUUGGACAGAGAAAGAAUUACUUGCGUGGAUUUGGGAUAGGCCCACAACCCUAUUCGCCAUUUGAUAGUGCGGCACGAUCUCGUGACAAACAAAUGGAGGCAAUGCGAUCUGAGAUGGAGGUUCUUCACGAAAAUUUGAUGAAGGAGAAAGAAGAGCGCUAGACAGAUCGUGAAGAGAUGAUGAGGGAGAGAGAGGAGUUGAUGAAAGAAGUAGAAGGAAAAAAAGCAAGGGAGGCGCAACAAGAACAACUGAAUCAUUUGAACUUUGUGGUUUUACGACUCUCAACACUGUUGGAGGGUUCAGACGGUCAUCGUCGUAUUUGAUGACUUUGUUGCAUGGACUUGUGGAUAAUCCAUUUUGGUGUAUGGAGAAGAAAUUUCACUUUUGUAUAGAACUAAUAAAAUACUUUUGUCGUCUCCGGCUUUUGUGCAGUUCACUAUUACUAAUACAGAAAACUUUUGGCAGCCAACAGAUAAUUACUGGCAUGGUACAUAGAUCACCUUCUGUCACUGUACAUAUAUGAGUUUUUGUCGUGGUACAUAGAUGUACUUUUGUCUUGGUACAUACAUCACCUUUUGUCGUGGUACAGAUUACGAUGGUAAUUUGUACCAUGCCAAAUGGUCAUUUCACAUGGUAGUAAAUGUAAUUUUUGUAUACGGAGGGCUUUUAUUUUUGUAUGAUUCUAUAUUUUAUA
Molecule: non-coding RNA, 2813 nt
Organism: Camellia sinensis
Lineage: Eukaryota; Viridiplantae; Streptophyta; Magnoliopsida; Ericales; Theaceae
Source: RefSeq, a predicted model, not a curated record